AAGGACCUCAACAGAGGCCUAUUAAAAAUUUGAAAACUUGCUCUCGUUGAGAGUCGAACUCAAGACCUCUCGCUUACUAAACGGGUGCUCUAACCAACUGAGCUACGAGAGCUUAUUGGAAAAUAUGCCAUUCAAAUUAUAAGUAUUCAAAAUAUUUUCCUGGGAAAAUUGGCGGGUGUCUCCUCAAGCUGAACGGUAAGAGCCUGAGAGGCAGUUAGUUAAGAAUUCUCAAGUGUGAUUCGGAAAUGUGAGAGACACGUGGCGUUCUGCAUUCUCUUCUCUUCGCUGAGGUAGUUAGGGUUUUACUUACCAGUGUGUCUGAACACUGAACUGAACUGAAUAGAAUUCAAGAAUGGAACCCGAUCCUUCCUUUACUUUCAGCAGCACUGAUGUUCAAUCUCUUGCCGAUCUGCUCGCAGAUCUGGUCCUCGGUGAGAAAUCGGUGGAUGAUGAUUUGAGGCCGAAGCAGGAGUUUAUGUGCCCUUUUUGCGGCGAAAUUCACGACGCCGAUGCACUUAGCUACCACAUUCAUGAUCAGCAUCCCCGGCAUCUCACCAAUGGGGACUGUCCAAUUUGUGAAGACUCGUUUGGGAUGGAACUUGUCGGUCAUAUUGCUAAAGAACAUGGAGAUCUUCUGAAAAUAUCCUUUAGAAGCUGGGAUUCUUUCCAUUUUUUGGUUAUUUUUAGUUUUCACCUGCUGCUGAAUUGGAUCCACUCUUAUUUAAUUGCACCAGCCACAUUAAUCCGGGGAUAUAUUUUGAUAUGAAAUUACGUGCAGCGCAAAAGAAGGUACAGAACUGGAGGCCCGAAUCCUACAUCGAGACAAGAACUGGAUGAAGAAAUACGGAAACACCUAUUAAGAGAUUUUUCAUGCAUAGCUCCCUCUGAGCUUGAUCCUUUGCUCUCAUCAUUUAUUUCCACCCGAGUUUUAGCUGACGAACAAUGCAGUGCACAAGUACAACCUUCUCCAUUGGAAGCUAUCGAAAUGCAAAGUUUAGAAGACGAUUUCUUGGAAAGGGAACCUGAACCGUUGCAACCAUUGGACAACCAUCUAGCAGAGAAAGAUCCAAGGUUUGAGUUCGUUCAGAGGUUACUGAUGUCUGCUAUUCUUGAUAAUAACUUACCAAUGAAAUUGUAGCUAGUUCUGACGUUAUUGAGGGAGGGGGUUUAUGCUCAUUGAUAGAGUGAAUAUGUAGCAGAAGGAUUGAAUGUGUCCAUAAUGUAACUAGACUUAUCGGCAAUUGUUCAUAUAAAUGCAAUUAAUAGUAUUUUGAUUUUUGAUUGUCA
Molecule: non-coding RNA, 1287 nt
Organism: Arachis ipaensis
Lineage: Eukaryota; Viridiplantae; Streptophyta; Magnoliopsida; Fabales; Fabaceae
Source: RefSeq, a predicted model, not a curated record